This is an RNA transcript of Oxyura jamaicensis (ruddy duck), 2542 nucleotides long. It is a transcript of the gene named fatty acid binding protein 6, with no coding region annotated. Lineage: Eukaryota; Metazoa; Chordata; Aves; Anseriformes; Anatidae. The record is from RefSeq and is a predicted model, not a curated record. The transcript is spliced from 7 exons.
CUCAGAUAGGAGGCUUGCUAUGUGCUCAUGUUAGAGAGGUGCCUUAGAAAGCCAUCAGUUAGAUAAGCUUUACUGUGAGUGUUUUGUUGUGCUUUUUGUGUUGUUUUUAAGUAUUUAUUUUAUUCCAUGAGGAAAAGUAGAAAAAGCCUGUGUGCCUUAAGUAUCCCAGAACAAGGUUAUACCACUUCCUUGCAGUCUGUCUUCUGACAGUGGGGCUCCAUAUCAGCACGCAAACCCUUGUGUUUCUCUGUGACAGCUGAAUCCACGCAGUGGGGCUCAUAAAUGCUAUUCUGCCACAAAUAACAUUUGCAUAUAAAGAUCGAUUCAUUCAUUUGUUUGUGUUGAAGUUGUAGCUUUGCUGUAGGUGAAGCUGAAGAUUUCAGACUGAAUUCAGGGAAGCAAGCAUUUGGCCUCUGUUCUGUAAUGUUUAAUUAAAUCUAUAUGAAGCAGCCCUGUGUAUUAUUGGUUGCCCAGAUAGCAAUAAAAUGUACUUAAGCAAAGGUUAAUAAUAUAUGGUAUUUCAGUGUGGCCAUAAUCCAGUGUUUAGGAAAUCAUUAUCAUUUAGAAAUAUGUCCCAAAAUGAAACAUGAAGACAAUUGCUUGUAUAAAUACUGAUAUACUGAACAUGAAUGACUCUUACUGAGCUGAUUGUCUGGCUCAGGCGGGAGGUUUUUCAUUUCAGUCAGAGAACGAGGAGAUUGGAGACUGAUCUUGGAGCUGCAGCUGUGGCACUGGGCUAGGCUAUCCUGCACUACCAGCCACAUCACCAGGGCAACAUGGCAUUCACAGGCAAAUACGAAUUUGAAAGCGAUGAGAACUACGAUGACUUUGUUAAGGCGAUUGGUCUCCCCAGUGAGAAGGUUGAGAUGGGAAGGAAUUGCAAAAUAGUCACUGAGGUGGUGCAGAAUGGAAAUGACUUCACCUGGACACAGCAUUUCCCAGGAGGUCGCACCACGACUAACACAUUCACUAUUGGCAAGGAAGCAGACAUGGAGACAAUGGGUGGUAAAAAAUUCAAGGCAACUGUUAAAAUGGAAGGGGGAAAAGUAGUAGCUGAUUUUCCCAACUAUCAUCACACUGCAGAGAUUGCUGGAGGAAAACUAGUGGAGCUCUCUACUGCUUCUGGUGUAACCUACAAGAGAACCAGCAAAAAGAUUGCUUAAGGGACGUUCUUUGCUGAAUGUCUGUGUUGAAGGAGUUUAGACACCAGCAGCAAUCAGAAGAGCAACAAUGAGCAUUUCCAAAACUUCAACUUUGAAAACUAGAGACUACCAUUAUGCAGAUUUAGGAGUCUGCUGUUGGACUUAAAUCUACCUCAACUCCACCCACGAUACAAAGGCACAAACACAAACUGGGGAAGUCAGUGGACAAUUCACAUUUAAAAUAGAGUCACCAGAAGAAAGACUGAAUAUACAACUGGGUUCUAUUUGGAUUUUCAGUUUUCUUAGGUAAGAUUGCACCUGGCCCAAAGAACUGAUUAUUCCAGCUCAUAUAUCCUAUCUUGUCUGUUUCUUCAGCCACCUCCUCAGCCCUUACAUACACUAACACUUCAGACUUGGAGUAACACCUCACUUCCUGUGCAGUGACCAAGAUCUACCCAAUCCUUCCAACUUAUUGUUUGACAAGGCCCUUCGACCACAUUUGUCCUAUCACUGUUCUGUAAAACAUUAUGAGUGUUCAGAUCAAUUAUUUUUAAGGUAUAGACAUGUAUUCUUUGUUAGCUCUUAAAAGCUUAAGAGGAAACACUAAAAAAUGGAGGGCACUUCAGGUAUAUGCUUGUUUAUUGGAAGCUUUCACUGAAAACUUUGCAAGUAUUUUCACAAUUAAGCAUGAUGGCAGUCCAAAAUAUAACAGCACACAUGACCUGAAUUAAAAGGGUGAUAAAGCAAAGAAAACAAAUACAACAGUACUGCUGCAUAUACAUUGUUCAUUAAUGACAAAUUGUAACAAAAAAUGCACUACAGUCUUCUAAAAAUAAAGUUUAAUAUAAAGACAAAUCCAGCAGAAUGGAAGAUGAACCAAGUUCUCUAAGCUUCUAGAGCCAUUUCUGAAGAGUACUGCUUCUUCAUUUACGGUUGUGGGUUUUUUUUUGAAAAAAAUGUAAUGAUAAUAAUAACUUCCUGCAUUCAGCAGGCUAGAGGAAUUUUAACUCGAUACCAAACACUGCAUUCUCAGAAGACAGUUAAACACACAUUAGCAUGCGGGCUAAUCUUUUCCCCUCCACCCUAAAACACCCUUUAAAAACAAUUCUGUAAAAAUAUAGUUUAAAACAGCACUGACACAUGACUUUGAAAAAUUGUUCCAAGUCAGUAAAAGCAUAUUGCACAUUACCUGUACUGCUGUCCUGAGAGCCUUAAAAAAAAGGCAAACCAACAGUACUGCCUUCAAAGAAAUACACAACAGCGGUUGCACAUCAAAACUGAAGUUUCACAUUUGCAGAAGUCUGUUUCUUGUAAGUAUCUACGUUAAAGAAACAAAGCCUAUACAAUCCUUCAGAUGACAUCUCUGGUCCCAACUGAAGAGGAAACCUUUGGAUAUUUGA